CUACAGGCAGGCACCACCAUGCCCAGCUAAUUUUUUUUGUAUUUAGUAGAGAUGGGGUUUCACCAUGUUGGCCAGGAUGGUCUGUAUCGCCUGAUCUCGUGAUCCGCCUGCCUUGGUCUCCCAAAGUGCUGGGAUUACAGGUGUGAGCCACCGCACCCAGCUGAUCUUAUGACUUCUUUGAGAGAAGUGGGGAGUCUGAUUUUAUGUGACACCCCCCUACUCCCAUUCACUAAAAUGUCAGCUCCAUGAGGGCAAGGAUUUUUAUCUGUUUUAUUCUCUGGUAUGGCUUGAUACCAUAAGCACUCAAAAGAUAGUUAUUGAAUAAAUGAAACUUUCCAGUACAUGUUGGAAGGGUUUUUAAAAUGUUUUGAAACCAUGCACAGGCCAAACCCGACUUUCAGGACAUGGGUUUUCAACUUCUGAAUGGUAUGAUGGGGUGAUAGUAGGGUAUAAAAGUAUCCUGAGAAGUUGAAAGCAGUGUGUGAAUGGGGUGUUCUUUUCUCCCCACAAUCCUUUCCCAUCUGCUUACAGUAGACUUAGCACCUCAUAGAUGCUUGGGCCUGGAAAUGAAGCCAUGAAAAUGAAGCCCUCAGCCUUCUUGGAGAUCAGAGCCAUGGUCCUCACCCACAGCACAUGGGUCUCUAAACCUGGACCUCAACUCGCCCAUCUGUAAAAUGAGGGACUUACAUUAAAUUCCUACAGCUCCUUUCAGCUUGAACAUUAUCUGAGUCUAUUAGGAUCAUCCUAUAAGGCAUCUUCUCUUUCCCUGCCCCUGAUACCCUAGACCUGGGAGAUUUACUCACCUGGUCCCAGGGGAUCUAUUUCUCCUACUCUACCUGCCAGGGGCUGAGUUUUCUGCCUCACAUCUUGCCAAGAAGAUGAGAAACACGGCUGGAAACCUUGUCCUGGCACCCAUCUCUUCCUACUGCCAUGAACACCAAGGCAGGUUCACACCAAAGGUGUUCUUUUCCUCAUGGCAGGCUCUGACACCUGAUUAAGAGAAACAUCUAAUCUCCCGCUGGUUCCCUCUCUUCUUAAGAGGAGAGGCUUGAGGACCUGCUAAAAGCUUUAUCUCUGCUUGUCCUCUGGGUGAGGCUAAUGAGUGGGGCCAACAGGUGGGGCAGUGUAGGUGCUUUACAGCAGACACGCCUUCAGACCUCUGUUCCCUGAAGGGUGGGGAUGUGGGGGUCACCUCUGCCAGAGGGAGUAGGAGUGGCAAGUUACCUGACCCUCUAGAGUCUCCAUGCCUAGUCUUGUAGAUGGAACCCAGGUUAAAGGAAGGCAUAGAAAGGAGGGUCAGGCCUUCUCUUCUCUACUCAUCUCGAGGGAGGGGAUGGGGAAGGAGCAGAGAGUAGCUGAAGAAGGCAGGGAGAGGCUAGGCUCUGUGCCGGAGGAGAGAGAUUUGUAAGCCAUUUUGGUAAGGAUUUUGAGCAGUUUAGGAGGGAGCAGGGCCAGAGACUGUCACAGAGAAGAGAAGAGUAGGGUAUUUGGGGGAAGAAAUGGAAAUGAUUCUCUAUGGAAAUUAGAGGGUCUGUGCUACUGUUCAUAGAGGAGAUGGCCAAGACAGAGUCUCCUGGGUCAGGAGUGGGUUUGAAGGGUUUCCAUUCUUGUUUGCAGGAACUUGGGGGGUCAGCCAGGUGAGGAGCUACCUCUGCUAUCAACUGGGGGUUGCAGCUUUAGGGAGAGGGGCAUCUCAUGUAGAAGACAAGAUGCCCUGUGCCUGUGGCUGGUCUCUGGGGGACCUGGACACUGUUUUGGAAGGCCACACUGCCCCCUGCCCCCCUAGCAUUCUGUGGCUCCAUCACUUGCUCAGUUGGGCCGGAGUGGAGACACCUCAUUGCCCUCCCUGGCCUGCAGGUGAACGUGCUGGCCCUCAGCAUCUGCACACGGGAAGCCUACCAGUCCAUGAAGGAGCGGAAUGUGGACGAUGGGCACAUCAUUAACAUCAAUAGGUGAGGGCAAGUGGCCAAUGGGUACCACUCACCCACCAGGCUGGGUAAUGUGCUGCAGCUCACCUGACCUCUUUGGACCUCAGUUUCCUUGGUGGGAAAAUAUGGAUUUAAUACCUGAAUGGCACAAUCAUGGUGAGGGAAAGAAUAAUGUUGUCAAGUACCAGCCCCUGGUUGGCUGGAAUGGGCAGCUCAGCCCCUUGCCUCUACAGCUGAAGCCUGGGGCCUCUCGUGGGACUAAGUGCCUCUAUUCCUCAGGCCUGGGGAUGAACCCCACCUCAUGGCACAAAGAGUACUAUGUACAGUGUCUGCCACUGGGGAGCCCCAGUCUGAGGGGAGACAUGGCCUCUGCCUGCCCUGAGAUGUCCCAAUAGAACCAUAUCAGUGAACAUACAGAUUAGAUGGAGAGAAUUCUGACAUUCUGCACCACCAGGAGAGUGCAUUCUGUCGUCAGCUUAGGGACGACUUCCAGGAAAAGGAGGGUUUUCCAAAACUGUUUGAAUAACCAAAAUUAGAUUAGUGAGCUGUGGGAUGGCCAGUAGAGGUCCCCUUUAGAAGUCUUCCCGAUGGGCAUCUGGGUGGUGGGGCUAACCGGGUACGGCAGGGGCACCACUGGUCUCCCUGGAGCUUCAUUCUCUCCUCUUUCCCCUUCCUCUCCCCACCCAGCAUGUCUGGCCACCGAGUGCUACCCCUGUCUGUGACCCACUUCUAUAGUGCCACCAAGUAUGCCGUCACUGCGCUGACAGAGGGACUGAGGCAAGAGCUUCGGGAGGCCCAGACCCACAUCCGAGCCACGGUGAGGCUGUGGCCUAGCCCUGGUGGGGACAGGGUGGCGCAGGCCCUCCCCACCCACACACACCGUUCAGGAAGCCCAUGUUCAGAAUGUGCCGCUUAGAGCUCCUGGGAGUGGACUGGGCACAGAACUGGGUGCUGCUGCUCCCGGCAUGGCCCUAUGCAGCCCUUCAUUUCCUCAUUUCACUGAUCCAGGAGCCAACGACCAGACUUAGACUUUGAGCUGGGAGGGGGCUGACCUGAGGGAAAGCAAGGGACUGUGGGAAACCAGGUGCACAGUGGCUGGAAACCAGGAGUCCGGGCUCUUCUCUUGAAGGCCGCAUGAUCGUGAGCGAGUCACUGAACCUCCCUAAGCCUCGGCCUUCUCAUUUGUGAAAAGGAGAUGAUGAGCUUUUCAGGGACACUUUUUUGUAAAACGUUUACCUGACAUAUAGGAAAGGCUCUGUAGAUGGUAGGUAUCAUGGUCACUGCCAGUGGCAGCUUCGGAGGGAGGAGGCCGCUGCCAGAUAUCGGGCAGCCAUCACUGUGAAGCUGGGGUUCUGUGGCCUCCAUCCUCUCCCCUCGACCUCCCCAAGGCCUGGCAAAGCUCAGACCCUGAGAAGGCCCUCUCUGUUGGCCCAGUGCAUCUCUCCAGGUGUGGUGGAGACACAAUUCGCCUUCAAACUCCACGACAAGGACCCUGAGAAGGCAGCUGGCACCUAUGAGCAAAUGAAGGUGGGGCCUCCCUCUGAGCCUGGUGAAGCCACUGACUCCCUAAAUGAAGGCAGAGGGAAGCUCGGCCUUCAGACUCCACCCUUCCAGCCUUUGUGGCGCCUCCUGGAGGGUUGGGGUGGAUGUGUGGAUGCCACAGAGGAGCUCAGUGGUGGGAGGGAAUUUGAGUCCAUUCUGUCCUUGUCUCAACCCAUUCCCCUGGUGCUCUCAGUGUCUCAAACCCGAGGAUGUGGCCGAGGCUGUUAUCUACGUCCUCAGCACCCCCGCACACAUCCAGGUGAGUCUGGCCCUGACUGUCUACUCACUGGAGGAACCCAACCAGCCCCAGAGGAGGGGAGCAGGGAGCCCUGCAGGGCCGGGGGAGAGUGUCACAGCUGCCUCAUGCCUUGUGCCUUCCACAGAUUGGAGACAUCCAGAUGAGGCCCACGGAGCAGGUGACCUAGUGACUGUGGGAGCUCCUCCUUCCCUCCCCACCCUUCAUGGCUUGCCUCCUGCCUCUGGAUUUUAGGUGUUGAUUUCUGGAUCACUGGAUACCACUUCCUGUCCACACCCCGACCAGGGCCUAGAAAAUUUGUUUGAGAUUUUUAUAUCAUCUUGUCAAAUUGCUUCGGUUGUAAAUGUGAAAAAUGGGCUGGGGAAAGGAGGUGGUGUCCCUCAUUGUUUUACUUGUUAACUUGUUCUUGUGCCGCUGGGCACCUUGGCCUUUGUCUGCUCUCAGGUCUCUUCCCUUUGACAUGGGAAAGGAAUUGUGGCCAAAAUCCCCCGCAUCUUCUUGCACCUCAACGUCUGUGGCUCAGGGCUGGGGUGGCAGAGGGAGGCCCUCACCUUAUAUCUGUGUGGUUAUCCAGGGCUCCAGACUUCCUCCUCUGCCUGCCCCACUGCACCCUCUCCCCCUUAUCUUUCUCCUUCUCGGCUCCCCAGCCCAAUCUUGGCUUCUUGUCCCCUCGUGGGGUCAUCCCUCCACUCUGACUAUGGCAGCAGAACACCAGGGCCUGGCCCAGUGGAUUUCAUGGUGAUCAUUAAAAAAGAAAAAUCGCAACC
RNAcentral lists this small RNA (4493 nucleotides) under Pongo abelii (Sumatran orangutan). RNAcentral describes it as "retained intron". The record is from RNAcentral. Lineage: Eukaryota; Metazoa; Chordata; Mammalia; Primates; Hominidae.